RNAcentral lists this transfer RNA (64 nucleotides) under Incisitermes minor. Its description in RNAcentral is "tRNA-Glu". It matches the Rfam family "tRNA". Rfam says of the family: Transfer RNA (tRNA) molecules are approximately 80 nucleotides in length. Their secondary structure includes four short double-helical elements and three loops (D, anti-codon, and T loops). Lineage: Eukaryota; Metazoa; Arthropoda; Insecta; Blattodea; Kalotermitidae. The record is from RNAcentral.
AUUUAUGUAGUUUAACAAAAACAUUACAUUUUCACUGUAAAAAUAAAGGAACCUUUCAUAAAUA